RNAcentral lists this ribosomal RNA (57 nucleotides) under Pseudomonadota bacterium. RNAcentral describes it as "Proteobacteria bacterium (marine sediment metagenome) partial 23S ribosomal RNA". Lineage: Bacteria; Pseudomonadati; Pseudomonadota. The record is from RNAcentral.
AAGUCCGGUAACGGAUUUAGCUUACUGAUACUAAUCGGUCGAGAGGCUUGACCAUAU